RNAcentral lists this long non-coding RNA (2007 nucleotides) under Macaca mulatta (Rhesus monkey). Its description in RNAcentral is "lncRNA (ENSMMUG00000062072.1)". The record is from RNAcentral. Lineage: Eukaryota; Metazoa; Chordata; Mammalia; Primates; Cercopithecidae.
GGAGUCUGGUCAGGGACGUCGGUACCAGCGUCUCGCGGGUUCUGAUGCAGAGUGGGUAAUUACCCACUCUGCCAAGUCCCUGGAAGGAAACAGCAGUGUCCGCAGCGGUGCUGGGAGCACCUCCUCCGGGUCUGCAGGGGACGGCGCUUUUCAGGGCGCAGUUCUGCGCAUGUGCUCCGCUGGCGCCAGCCGACGCUUCCGGCUGCUUGUAGCGUGGAGUUCAAAAUCCUUGGCUUGGCUUCUCCGGUCACGCACCAUGCGGCCCCUGCCUGUCCAGGAGCCUCAUUUGGUUAUUCUCCCACGGGUCCGUUGCCGCUGGGCUCCAGCCGGCGCCCUGGCAGCCUGAUCCUCCACCCGCCCCCACUCUGCGACCUGGAGCGUGACCCUCCCUCUGUCUGGUGACUUCCAGUGUGACCUUCCUCCGCCACGACAAGGACCCGCCUGGGUUACCUGCCGCACGUGACGGUGCCCUUGCCGCUCGCCCUGUGGCAUGAUUAAUUUGUGGAGCUGUUUGUUUAGUGGGCGUGUGUCCCAGGAGACUGCAGCCUCAAAGAGGGCGGGCCGUGUUGGCCUUUGUUCACCGCUGCAACCCAAUCCCCGCUUGGUGCUGGAGCGAGAAAACGUUCUCUGUCCACGUGAGCUAUAAUUUGAGAACACACAGACACACGCUCAGGACAUUUCAUCACGAAAUAAGUUCCAUGUCGUGUUCACUUUUAACAAUGUCACUAGGAGUUUGGAACCAUACCAUGAAGCCAAACGCAGGGAUUAUCUGAGCGGGUGAAGAGAUUACGAUUUUAAUAGAAUCCGGAGUGAGGUACCCGAGGAAGCCAGAAUGAAACAGCAUUUUAAAAUAUAUUGCAACGUGAGCAUCAGAACCUCUUGGUUUUUUUAAAGCACAGAAAAGAAAAAUGACAAGACUCAUGUCAUUAAUUACAUUCUCAAAGAAAAUAAGGUCAGUGUAAGAGGAAAUAAUCUAAAAUUGCAGGACGGGGGAUUCUCAUUGGAUCAAGGCAUGAAGGAAACUUCAAGGAUGUCAGUGGUUUAUCAAGGAAGUGCUAGAAUUUUCCUCGGAUACAACUGUUCGAAGCCGAGCCAACCUUCCAUGGUAAGAGGUGCAGACGUGUGCCUCAGCUGCUAAGGGCCUUCCAGGCUGUUUCCUGUGCACCAACUUCCUCUGCUUCCUUGGUGUCUAAACCCAUGGUCAAAGCACUAUUCACGAAAAGUGUGUUAAUGUUUUAAGUUAAUUUGAACUUUAAAAAUUAUUGAUCCAUAAGGAAAAAUAUGUCUGCUUUGUGGUCCUGAAUAUUUUACAAGAACCUUGAUUGCUUUAGUGACUCUUAAUUCACAACAGUGCUGGGAUAUUCAACAAAUGAAAUCACUUUUCAGAAACAGGAUCAGAAUCUGCUACUUCCUGCCCCUCAGCCUGCCUUUCCAAACCCUCAAGUGGCACCUGGUGUAGACACCAUGGAUCUCAACAGCAGUACUUUAGCCUGAUGCCUAGAGCCUCUUACACUUUUAUGGAAGUGGCCUGAGCAGUGUUUGUGACAGGAUUGGUGGUGUCUCCAUGUUUCUCUCUUGCACCGUCCCACCCUGACCUGUGGGGGGAGGGAGGGAGGAAGGAAGGAAGAAGUGGGGAAGGGUGUCUGGUGUCAGAUGCUUACAACAGGAAUUGCUCACCUGCAGAAAGGCAAGUAUUGUUUCUUCAAGAAUUUGUAUGAAUUUGAUUUUGUGAAUUUCAGCUCUUUCUUAGAAGCUUAGCAAAAAAUGUGGUAUAAACAUUUGAAAUAAAAAAAUGCAGUAAGCAACAGAGUGAGAUCUUGUCUCUACAAAAAAAUUUUAAAAGAAUUAGCUGAGUGUGGUGGUGGCACCUGCAGUCCCAACUACUCAGGAGGCUGAGACAGGAGGACGGCUUGAGCCCAGGAGGUCAAGGCUUCAGUGAGCUGUGAUUGAGUCACUGCACUCCAGCCUGGGGGACAGAGCAAGACUUCAACUUAAAAAAAAAAAAAA